This 498-nucleotide ribosomal RNA is filed under the name uncultured bacterium. RNAcentral's name for it is "partial 16S ribosomal RNA". It matches the Rfam family "Bacterial small subunit ribosomal RNA", at positions 28 to 507 of the family's 1533-position model. The record is from RNAcentral.
GACGAACGCUGGCGGCGUGCCUAAUACAUGCAAGUCGAACGAGAGCAACCGGUGCUUGCACUGGUCAAUCUAGUGGCGAACGGGUGAGUAACACGUGGGUAACCUGCCCAUCAGAGGGGGAUAACAUCCGGAAACGGAUGCUAAAACCGCAUAGGUCUUCGAACCGCAUGGUUUGAAGAGGAAAAGAGGCGCAAGCUUCUGCUGAUGGAUGGACCCGCGGUGCAUUAGCUAGUUGGUGAGGUAACGGCUCACCAAGGCCGUGAUGCAUAGCCGACCUGAGAGGGUGAUCGGCCACAUUGGGACUGAGACACGGCCCAAACUCCUACGGGAGGCAGCAGUAGGGAAUCUUCCGCAAUGGACGCAGGUCUGACGGAGCAACGCCGCGUGAGUGAAGAAGGUUUUCGGAUCGUAAAACUCUGUUGUUAGAGAAGAACAAGUGCUAGAGUAACUGUUAGCGCCUUGACGGUAUCUAACCAGAAAGCCACGGCUAACUACGUG